GCAGUAGUUUUAUCACUAUCCUUCAACCUUUCAUUUUUGUUUCUGUGCCAUUGUUUAUCCGAACUCCUAAACUCUCCUUCAUUCUCUUCUGCAAAAUUCACCAAACUCCUAAACUCUUCUUCAUUCUCCUCUGCAAAUUCUACCUACACCCCCCUUUAAAAAACCCUGCUGAAGAAGACUGUUAGGUCGAAACGCGUACAGGGUUGCCUUUCCUUUUCUCUCCUUUAUCUCUCUACUUAUC
Paramuricea clavata is the source of this 241-nucleotide non-coding RNA. The record is from the annotation of a GenBank genome assembly. Lineage: Eukaryota; Metazoa; Cnidaria; Anthozoa; Malacalcyonacea; Plexauridae.